GCGUUGCGAUUGCUGCAGCAGAACAGAUGCCUCUGCUGCGAGAUGGCUCCUGGCCCCAGCCUGCGCGCUCCCGACUCCCUCCCCAAUCCUCCGGGCAGGAGUAAGAAGCUGAGAUUUGGUGCUAUGUCAAGAUCCCGGCCAUUCCCCCACCACAGAGAGACCCCAGCAGCACUGGGGAGCUGGAUCCCUUUUGGAUGCUGAAGUCGGGAGUAUUAUCACUGCAAGGGGGUGCGCAGACCUCUGUUUCCCAGCCCUCUGCAUCUGUAUUACUUAUAUCACUAAUAAAGCCUCCCAGGGUAUCAGUGGA
Molecule: long non-coding RNA, 307 nt
Organism: Gavia stellata (red-throated loon)
Lineage: Eukaryota; Metazoa; Chordata; Aves; Gaviiformes; Gaviidae
Exons: 2
Source: RefSeq, a predicted model, not a curated record